Molecule: ribosomal RNA, 1562 nt
Filed under: human gut metagenome
Description: bacterial LSU rRNA
Rfam family: Bacterial large subunit ribosomal RNA
Source: RNAcentral
GGGUAGCGGAGAAAUUCCAAUCGAACCCGGAGAUAGCUGGUUCUCCCCGAAAUAGUUUUAGGACUAGCCUCAAGUUAGAUACCUGGAGGUAAAGCACUGAAUAGCCUAGCGGCCGAGAGGUUAGCGAAGCUUAUCAAACUCAGAAUGCCAGAGUAUUGAUGCUUGGGAGUCAGACAGUGUCAGAUAAAUGUCAUUGUCAAAAGGGAAACAGCCCAGAUCUACAGCUAAGGUCCCAAAGUCAGGUUAAGUGGAAAACGAUGUGAAGAUACGCAGACAACCAGGAUGUUGGCUCAGAAGCAGCCACUCAUUCAAAGAGUGCGUAAUAGCUCACUGGUCGAGCGUCUUUGCGCGGAGAAUUUAACGGGGCUAAACCUGACACCGAAGCUUAGGCAAUGUAGUAAUACAUUGGGUAGGGGAGCGUUGUAUACGCGGAGAAACAGUAGCGUAAGCGGCUGUGGAGUGUAUAGAAGUGAGAAUGCCGGAAUGAGUAGCGCGAAUGCAGUGAGAAUCUGCAUGGCCGAAAGCCUCAGGUUUCUGGAGGAAGGUUCGUCCGCUCCAGGUUAGUCGGGAGCUAAGGUGAGGCCGGAAGGCGUAGCCGAUGCACAGACGGUAGAGAUUCCGUCACCACCAAAAGAGUUAAGCACAGGGACACAUUUGAAGUCUCAGAGCCGGGUGUUGGUUCCGGUAGAGAUCGAGGGAAAUUAGUACCGAAGUCUGAGAUGGAAGAUGGCGAGAAAAGCUGUGUGUAUUUCUGAGGUGCCCGUACCGCAAACCGACACAGGUAGGUAGGAAGAAGAUUCUAAGGCCAACGGGAGAAGGGUUGUUAAGGAACUCGGCAAAUUGACCCCGUAACUUCGGGAGAAGGGGUGCUCCAGAGAUGGAGCCGCAGAGAAUCGGCCCAAGCAACUGUUUACCAAAAACACAGGUUUGUGCUAAAUCGAAAGAUGACGUAUACGAGCUGACGCCUGCCCGGUGCUGGAAGGUUAAGAGGAGAUGUGCAAGCAUUGAAUCGAAGCCCCAGUGAACGGCGGCCGUAACUAUAACGGUCCUAAGGUAGCGAAAUUCCUUGUCAGGUAAGUUCUGACCCGCAUGAAAGGCGUAAUGAUUUGGGCACUGUCUCAACAGCCCGCCCGGCGAAAUUGUAGUACCGGUGAAGAUGCCGGUUACCCGCGACAAGACGGAAAGACCCCAUGGAGCUUUACUGUAGCCUAAUAUUGGGUUUCGAUGUUGCAUGCACAGGAUAGAUGGGACUCUGGGAAACCAAGGCUUUGGCUUUGGCGGAGAGGCCGUUGGGAUACCAUCCUUGCGAUAUUGGAAUUCUAACCUGCGGCUCUGAAUCGAGUCGGGGGACAUUGUUAGGUGGGCAGUUUGACUGGGGCGGUCGCCUCCUAAAGAGUAACGGAGGCGUUCAAAGGUUCGCUCAGCUUGAACGGAAAUCAAGCAAAAGAGUGCAAACGCAGAAGCGAGCCUAACUGCGAGACUGACGGGUCGAGCAGUAACGAAAGUUGGAGUUAGUGAUCCGGUGGUAUGUGAGUGGAAAUGCCAUCGCUCAACGGAUAAAA